Long non-coding RNA from Helianthus annuus (common sunflower), 835 nucleotides. RefSeq lists it as uncharacterized. Lineage: Eukaryota; Viridiplantae; Streptophyta; Magnoliopsida; Asterales; Asteraceae. The record is from RefSeq and is a predicted model, not a curated record. The transcript is spliced from 3 exons.
CUAUUGAAAAGAUUGCAAACGUAUUUGUGGCAAAUUGAUUUUUGUUGAACAAAGUCCAACCGUCCGUGCCUUUGUAUUCCUUUUCUUUUAAAGUUUGCCGCCCAAAAUAAGCAUGUCGGCACCUUAAUGAUUUCGAAGUUCAUUUGUAUUCCCAAAAUAAAUACCAAGCUUUGUUCAACACCAUUUCUGCACACUAUUUUAUCACAAGGCUUUUGGUUUUCCAACUUCAUAUCUUCAUAGAUCAAAACCCACAACCAUCUCGACUACCACACUGACCUCAAGACCUUCCUCCUUCACUCACCCUCCUCCCUCGUUCCUCACACCGGCGAUCACACCACCCAGACUUCAUCUCGUUCGACACACCUCUCUAUCUUGCACUCUCUCUGAUUCGAUAACAACCCACCGGAGUCGAAGUGUACGCCAGAGUAAUCGUAAUCGAGACACCGUCGAAGUAACCAAGUUCGCCGGAGAAACCCGAAGACACGAGCACGUCGUCAGACUUUUCGCCGGAGAUCGGAGACACUGCCGGAGACGUCGUAGUUCACGAUGGAGUAUAGCUCGAUUCAUGUUCGGAUGAUCGCUUUGCUCGUUCUCUUGGAAUUCUCUAUCUUUACUCGUGCGUUAUUACGAGGAAUUCUUAUAUGCAACCAAUGUUGAUGAUGAUGAUGCUAUGAAAAGAAGUAGCGUUGAUGCCUAGAUACACAUUUAGACGUUUAGGUUUAAUAUGUUGUAUCAAUUUUGCUUGUGUUGUCAUGUACUUCUUUGAAACUUGUUGUAUUUGAAUUUCUUGUAAUGUUGACAAUUUACUUUAUGAAAUGAAAUCGGAUUAUUAAAA